UACGUAGGGGGCAAGCGUUGUCCGGAAUCAUUGGGCGUAAAGCGCGUGUAGGCGGCUCGGUAAGUCCGCUCUGAAAGUCCAGGGCUCAACCCUGGGAUGCGGGUGGAUACUGCCGAGCUCGAGUCCGGAAGAGGCGAGUGGAAUUCCUGGUGUAGCGGUGAAAUGCGCAGAUAUCAGGAGGAACACCAAUGGCGAAGGCAGCUCGCUGGGACGUGACUGACGCUGAGGCGCGACAGCGUGGGGAGCAAACAGG
This 253-nucleotide ribosomal RNA is filed under the name uncultured bacterium. RNAcentral's name for it is "partial 16S ribosomal RNA". It matches the Rfam family "Bacterial small subunit ribosomal RNA", at positions 524 to 776 of the family's 1533-position model. The record is from RNAcentral.